UUACAUCACUGAAAGAAGUCAG
This 22-nucleotide unclassified non-coding RNA is filed under the name Mus musculus (house mouse). Its description in RNAcentral is "oocyte_clustered_small_RNA11264". Lineage: Eukaryota; Metazoa; Chordata; Mammalia; Rodentia; Muridae. The record is from RNAcentral.